UGCCGCGUGUGUGACGAAGGUCUUCGGAUUGUAAAGCACUUUAAGUUGGGAGGAAGGGCAGUAAGCUAAUACCUUGCUGUUCCGACGUUACCGACAGAAUAAGCACCGGCUAACUCUGUGCCAGCAGCCGCGGUAAUAUUAAGGGUGCAAGCGUUAAUCGGAAUUACUGGGCGUAAAGCGCGCGUAGGCGGUUCGUUAAGUUGGAUGUGAAAGCCCCGGGCUCAACCUGGGAACUGCAUCCAAAACUGGCGAGCUAGAGUACGGUAGAGGGAGGUGGAAUUUCCUGUGUAGCAGUGAAAUGCGUAAAUAUAGGAAGGAACACCAGUGGCGAAGGCGACCACCUGGACUGAUACUGACACUGAGGUGCGAAAGCGUGGGGAGCAAACAGGAUUAAAUACCCUGGUAGUCCACGCCGUAAACGAUGUCAACUAGCCGUUGGAAUCCUUGAUAUUUUAGUGGCGCAGCUAACGCAUUAAGUUGACCGCCUGGGGAGUACGGCCGCAAGGUUAAAACUCAAA
Molecule: ribosomal RNA, 518 nt
Filed under: uncultured Pseudomonas sp.
Lineage: Bacteria; Pseudomonadati; Pseudomonadota; Gammaproteobacteria; Pseudomonadales; Pseudomonadaceae
Description: bacterial SSU rRNA
Rfam family: Bacterial small subunit ribosomal RNA
Source: RNAcentral